Long non-coding RNA from Amphimedon queenslandica, 405 nucleotides. RefSeq lists it as uncharacterized. The transcript has 2 exons. The record is from RefSeq and is a predicted model, not a curated record. NCBI's taxonomy places the organism in Eukaryota, Metazoa, Porifera, Demospongiae, Haplosclerida, Niphatidae.
CCAUGGUAAUGACAUAGAUAUACGACUGUUAGAGGGAUUGGAGACUGGUCACGUGAGCGCAUUACUACUACACUCACCAUCCGCGUUUGUGUUAAGUAUAUUCAUAGUCACGCCUUUUCUUUGACCUUGUGCUAUUUCAAUGGAGGAAGAGCAGAACCAACAGUACAUUUUUGUGGGACUAUUGUAUUAGUUUGGAAGCUUAAUACAGACAGGUCUGCAAAUGGAAGGAUAAAACUGAGGUUUUUGUUUAAAAGAAUCAUGAAUAUAGGAGAUAUGAUGCUUCAAAGGCACUUAUAGAACACAAAUUUUAAUUAUCUGUCAAUAUCAUUAUCUAUUGUAGUAUUCAAUGCUUAUUUGUAGGCCUUAUAGCAUUUGGAGUAGUUUCUUGAAAGGAUCAUGAUAGCU